CAGCAGAUAACAUCUCAGGGGCAUCGUUGACAGGUUCCAUGAAGGUCAGAGGACUGGAGAAUGCUCUUACAGCGCAGGAAACAGAGAGUGGUCGUCAGACCAAGACCUAGGAGAAUUUCGCCAAAAGAAUACCUCUUGGAAGAUAAUCCCGUGCCAGUGAAUUUAUGUUUUGGUAUUUGUGGGACACCUCCUUGUUCUCCAUCCAAAAACUGUGUGAAAAA
Pantherophis guttatus is the source of this 221-nucleotide non-coding RNA. The record is from RefSeq and is a predicted model, not a curated record. Lineage: Eukaryota; Metazoa; Chordata; Lepidosauria; Squamata; Colubridae.